CUUGUACACAUCGCCCGUCACACCAUGGGAGCGGGAUGUACCAGAAGUAGGUAGGCUAACCGCAAGGGGGCCGCUUACCACGGUGCGUUUCGUGACUGGGGUG
RNAcentral lists this ribosomal RNA (103 nucleotides) under uncultured bacterium. RNAcentral's name for it is "partial 16S ribosomal RNA". It matches the Rfam family "Bacterial small subunit ribosomal RNA", at positions 1380 to 1482 of the family's 1533-position model. The record is from RNAcentral.